CGCCAGCUUUAAUCAUCGUAACAGCACAAUCCUGUAAUUAUUCAGACGUUCUAGGAACUUCAGUCCUUAUCCUCAAGAUAUAUUUGCAUAAUCUUGCAGUUUCAUGGAGGGGUCCUAGUCGUACCUUCUGACCAAUUAACAUCCUUGAAUUCCACUUGNAAAAGGCUGUUUUCCAAACUGGCAUAUCAAUAGGGCCACGGGGACAUAAGACCAUGGCGGGGGGACAGNGGGGACGGCGGAUGAUUCUAGGAAACAUGUAUCUGAGAAAGUCAUUAUAAGUUAGUAAUAGAUCCUAUAGCAAUAACACAAAUGGAAGACAAAGGUACCCUAGGAUGCGUUUCAGGGCCAGUUAAUUCUUAACAAUAAACCAGGGGGCGUGAGAGUUUGGGAAAGAAAAGGGCGGCCGGCUGCUCUCGAAGAACGCAGCGCUCGAAGCUGUGCGCGUCGCACUUUGUGUAUGCUCACGAGCACGCUCUUNGCUGGCUGGCUGGCACUUCUUCGCGAGGCGAUGAGCCUUAAGGUCCCCUGCUACCCCUUGUGGCGGCAGGGAGGGAAGCCUCCGUCAACGCAUCCCCUGCCCUUCUGGGUCGCGGUCAAAGAGCGUCUUUUUGCCUCGCCUUGCGGUGUGCCGUCGGCUUUGAGGACGGCUGCAGGCAGCCAGCAGCCAUAGCAGCAGCCCUCCCCUUCCGUCCCAGCCAGGAGGCACUCCCGAGCCCUCCUUCCCGCUCAGGCAGGGUCACUUCUGGGCAGACUGGGGCUGCGAGCGAGCGGGCGCCCGGCCGAGCCCUCGACGACAGUCAGCCACCGGCCUCCCCCCCCGCCGCGCCGCCGUCCCCGAGCGAGCCAGCAGCUGCGGCGGCUCUUCUUCGCCCGAGCCGCACUUUCUCAUUGGGCGCCCGCGCGCCCUCCCCGCCCCCGCCGCCAGCAGCUGCUNGCUCGCUCGUCUCGCCUGCCUCGGAGCGGCGGCAGCAGAAGCGACCGCGCGCCAGCCAGGAGGGCGAACUUUCUCCUUUGUUGGGGAACUUCGGCUCAGGAGUCCAGCCUUCCCGCGGGCAGCAGCCGCUGCCGCCGUGGAGGAGUAAAGCCGAGGCAAGUCAGGUGGCGGCCCCCGCCGCCGCUUUCACGGCUCUUCCUGCUGCCGUUCCUGGGAGGGCACCCCAGCCAGCCCCGGAGCAAGUAGUAGGCGUCCCUGGGGCGAAGAGGGAAGGUGUGAUGCGCCCCGGACCUGCGCUCCGAAUGCCCGUUGGGGAAACCGGCAAGGCGUUCAGGCUUGGCUGUGCUGUCUAA
Molecule: long non-coding RNA, 1287 nt
Filed under: Salvator merianae (Argentine black and white tegu)
Lineage: Eukaryota; Metazoa; Chordata; Lepidosauria; Squamata; Teiidae
Description: lncRNA (ENSSMRG00000014247.1)
Source: RNAcentral